Anolis carolinensis (green anole) is the source of this 712-nucleotide long non-coding RNA. RefSeq lists it as uncharacterized. Lineage: Eukaryota; Metazoa; Chordata; Lepidosauria; Squamata; Anolidae. The record is from RefSeq and is a predicted model, not a curated record. The transcript has 4 exons.
UGUGAUAGAACGGAGGCUAUUGUCUUAUCUGAUCCUACAGAAUUCUAGGGAAUGUAGUUUAGAGAAGACAAUGACAUCUCUAGCUGAGAAUUCCAAAGACUCUUUCCCAGAAUUCUGCAGGAGAGCUCCGAUGAUUGGCAGGCAAUAGCCUCCAUUCUCUAAUGCUGGUGGGAUAACAUCCUAUGAAAUAAGAAACACAAAACUGACAGGGACCAGCUAUAGUCAUAUGCAAACACAUCAUCGUCAUCAGCCAUCGCUAUCACCAUCCUCAUCGUGAUUAGCUGAGGAUGAUGGGAUUUAGAAGAUGGGUGCCGCCAGCCAUAUUUUGAGAUAAACUGAGCCUGAAUGUUCUGGGUUCAAACCUUUUCUUCUGCUGUUGAUAAGAAAUCUUACAGUAUCAUACUUGGAAUGCUAUCGACAUGAAGUAAAGUAAAAGGAUACAACUUAAGGAACAAUGGAACAGAAGUCAUAUGAGGAAAAAAGUGGAAAGGAAGAGAAGAGACAUAUUAAUACUAUGACAUAUUAAAAGCAGCUGAAAAAUGGGGCAGCAGAGGAUCAAUGGGGAAUGGGGUCCGCUGGAAGGUUUCUGAAAAUAGCAAUGUGGGUGUGUGAAUCUCAAAUACAUUAAAGGACAGCCUGCAAACCAUGGUCAAGAAAACCAGCCAUUUACAUAUUCACUGAAUCAUAAAUCUUCUAGUACUUUGUGCAUGCA